This 433-nucleotide ribosomal RNA is filed under the name uncultured bacterium. Its description in RNAcentral is "partial 16S ribosomal RNA". It matches the Rfam family "Bacterial small subunit ribosomal RNA", at positions 29 to 507 of the family's 1533-position model. The record is from RNAcentral.
AACGAACGCUGGCGGCAUGCCUAACACAUGCAAGUCGAACGGGAACUUCGGGCUUUGUGGCGCACGGCGACGUGAGAACUGGGGACCUACACUUGAGUAAGGAAUAACUGCCCGUAGGGGGUCCUAAUAAAGGUGAAUGUAAUACCGCCAAAGAGCUAUCGCCUCUGGGUGGGCGUGGGUUGGAUUAGGUGGUUGGUAGGGUAAAAGCGGCCCAAGGCGACGAUGGGUAGCUGGUCGGAGAGAAUGAUACGCCACACUGGGACUGAGACACGGCCCAGACUCCUACGGGAAGCAGCAGUGGGGAAUAUUGUACAAGGGGCGAAAGCCUGAUCCAGCAAUGCCGCGUGAGUGAUGAAGGCCUUAGGGUUGUAAAGCUCUUUUACCCGGGAUGAUAAUGACGGUACCGGGAGAAUAAGCACCGGCUAACUCCGUG